UCUCUGAAGGACACCUGGUGGAUCCAACUCCCGUGGUUCCAGUUCACCAAAUGAAUGCAAAGAUAAGGUGGACUCAGUCUCCUUGACUUCAAGAAGUGGAACUGGUUCAUUCAACAAACACUCUUGAUAUUGAUGUCAGUGACAAGAGUGAAAUUUCCUUCAGUGAAGUCAUAUUCACUGCAUUUUCUAUGCCAGUUCAUCCAUGGACACAUGAGGAAUUACUAUUAUCAUUUAAAAAUUAGAUUUAAUUAAACAACUCAUUUGUUGUG
This is a long non-coding RNA of Mesocricetus auratus (golden hamster), 269 nucleotides long. RefSeq lists it as uncharacterized. The record is from RefSeq and is a predicted model, not a curated record. Lineage: Eukaryota; Metazoa; Chordata; Mammalia; Rodentia; Cricetidae. The transcript has 2 exons.